AGCUCCAAUAGCGUAUAUUAAAGUUGCUGCAGUUAAAAAGCUCGUAGUUGGAUUUGUGGCGCGGUCGUCCGGCGGGGCUUCCGGUUUCAUAGUAUCCCGGGGCCGUUUGUCUGGGUUCUUGGCCGCCCCAUUCUUCGGUUGCGUGUCGCUGGCAUUAGGUUGUCGGCUUCUUCGCGCCGAUCGUUUACUGUGAAAAAAUUAGAGUGUUCAAAGCAGGCGUUUGCCGUGAAUACAUUAGCAUGGAAUAAUAGAAUAGGACUUGGUUUCUAUUUUGUUGGUUUGUGAGAGCCGAGUAAUGAUUAAGAGGGACGGUUGGGGGCAUUUGUAUUCCAGCGUCAGAGGUGAAAUUCUUGGAUUGCUGGAAGACAAACCGCUGCGAAAGCGUCUGCCAAGGACGUUU
This 400-nucleotide ribosomal RNA is filed under the name phytoplankton environmental sample. RNAcentral's name for it is "partial small subunit ribosomal RNA". It matches the Rfam family "Eukaryotic small subunit ribosomal RNA", at positions 587 to 969 of the family's 1831-position model. The record is from RNAcentral.